RNAcentral lists this ribosomal RNA (62 nucleotides) under Succinea caduca. Its description in RNAcentral is "partial 16S small subunit ribosomal RNA". The record is from RNAcentral. Lineage: Eukaryota; Metazoa; Mollusca; Gastropoda; Stylommatophora; Succineidae.
UGGCCCUAGUGAUCUGAUUACUUAUCAUAUUUUUCAAAUAAAAUGAUAACUAUUCAAAAGUG